This 90-nucleotide microRNA precursor is filed under the name Tetraodon nigroviridis (spotted green pufferfish). Its description in RNAcentral is "miRNA (ENSTNIG00000020270.1)". The record is from RNAcentral. Lineage: Eukaryota; Metazoa; Chordata; Actinopteri; Tetraodontiformes; Tetraodontidae.
GAGCGCGUGUGUGCGUGCGUGUGUGUGUGUGUGUGUGUGUGUGUGUGUGCGCGGGCGCGACGCACCAGAGGCUCCUCGGAGCUCAGACUC